UUACAUUCUGCCAACGCAGCUUCAGCUGACAGCAUGCUACAUCAUCUAUUUUUCUUUGUACCAAGAGUGGAAGGGCUGCCCAGCUCAGCACGACUCUCUCCCUGACUUAUCGCAUGGAGAACCACCCCACGUGCGUGGAUCUGCAAGGAGAGGUUAAGAUCACUCCAGGCUCACUCAUCUUGACAGAGGAAGAGCAGAAUUCGCCCCAUAGUCCACUCUAACACAUUCACAUGGGGAAGAGCGCUCCGCCUUUAGAAGCAUAAAGGGACCUCUGACCACAGCGAGGAGGGGGCUGCGGUGUUACCAUCCUGACUCAUCUAAACGAUUCCAAAGAAAACAGACAUUGUUGAGAGAAGAAAUGCCGUGUCCAGGUAAGCUUCAUUUAUUGCAGGGCGACAGUGUCAGCUCAGAGAAAUUCAUCAGCUGAAUCAGUCAUGACGAAACUGG
This 447-nucleotide long non-coding RNA is filed under the name Gallus gallus (chicken). Its description in RNAcentral is "lncRNA (ENSGALG00010022102.1)". The record is from RNAcentral. Lineage: Eukaryota; Metazoa; Chordata; Aves; Galliformes; Phasianidae.